ACAAAAAAAAGAAAGCAUGCAAAUCGUUUCCGUUUGCAUGCUUUUUUUUAUGCGCUUGCUGAUUCCUUUUUCACA
This 75-nucleotide non-coding RNA is filed under the name Bacillus cereus W. Lineage: Bacteria; Bacillati; Bacillota; Bacilli; Caryophanales; Bacillaceae. The record is from RNAcentral.